This 356-nucleotide ribosomal RNA is filed under the name Urnula hiemalis. Its description in RNAcentral is "eukaryotic LSU rRNA". It matches the Rfam family "Eukaryotic large subunit ribosomal RNA", at positions 61 to 412 of the family's 3401-position model. The record is from RNAcentral. Lineage: Eukaryota; Fungi; Ascomycota; Pezizomycetes; Pezizales; Sarcosomataceae.
GAAACCAACAGGGAUUGCCUCAGUAACUGCGAGUGAAGCGNCAAAAGCUCAAAUUUGAAAUCUGGUACCUCUGGGUGCCCGAGUUGUAAUUUGGAGAGGCAACUUCGGAGGGGGCGCUGGCCUAAGUUCCUUGGAACAGGACGUCACAGAGGGUGAGAAUCCCGUGCUUGGCUGGCUGUCCUCCUUCGUGUGAAGUGUCUUCGACGAGUCGAGUUGUUUGGGAAUGCAGCUCAAAAUGGGUGGUAAACUCCAUCUAAGGCUAAAUAUUGGCGAGAGACCGAUAGCGCACAAGUAGAGUGAUCGAAAGAUGAAAAGCACUUUGAAAAGAGAGUUAAAAAGUACGUGAAAUUGUUGAA